This 2662-nucleotide long non-coding RNA is filed under the name Volvox carteri. RNAcentral's name for it is "long non-coding RNA (VCAR_LNC003612)". Lineage: Eukaryota; Viridiplantae; Chlorophyta; Chlorophyceae; Chlamydomonadales; Volvocaceae. The record is from RNAcentral.
GCCUGGCAGUGUUUACCUUCCCGGGUGUGUUUGGGUGCACCCUCAUGCUCAUGCUUCUGACCCAUGCCGACUUCUGAAACGUCAGCGGCAUUUUCGGGUCCAGCACGCACCAUCAGCACAUCCCGUGGAAUCUGUGCCUGGAAUCAACGGCGGCAGCAGCAAGUUUCCACUCCGGGUCGGCUUUUGCAGGUGUGUCACUACACCAGUGGUUCCAUCAUCUCGGCCAUCAGCAAUGGAAUCGAUUGGCAUCCAUCCAGCCUCUUCUGUUCAAGAAUCUGUCCCGGGAUCACUUCCAAAACAGCCUUCCCGGGACAGCACACUCUGUACCUUCCUUCCUUAUCACCUUCCCCAGCAUAAACCCUGUCGUGUUUCAAUGGGUUGAGUGCACGUGCACACAGUAAUAGUUCUGUCCGUUGGAGUCGGAGGGCAUCGAUCCCCCUACCUCCCGCAUAUCAUCUGCGGCGCUCAGCAUCGCAUGCUAAGCGGGCGCUCUACCAUUUGAGCUACGACCCCUGUACAUCCUCACCACUCUGCGCUCGAUGACGGGAUCGAACCGUCGACCUUACGGUUAACAGCCGUGCGCUCUACCGACUGAGCUAACCGAGCAGGUCUGGCAGAUGGAUGUACGGCAGCACCAAGCAUACGCCACAUGCCGUACUGUACGAGUGCUACGGCUGAACCUGUGCACCGUGCCGUACGACAAAAGAACAGAAAAAAUGCGAUGCGAUUAGGUUGAUACAACCUACUGCAUACCAAGGUGCAGGUAAUGCGUCAGCAACCAGCUGCAAACAGGGCUCUAUCGAUGUAUUGUUCGGGUCCGUGCCGUCAGUGCACACCAGCAUAACACAUAAGAAAUGGGGACCUGCAAUUCAUUCAUGCAAAAAAUGUAAUAAUGUAGCUGGCCGCUCGUCGCUGGCCGCCGAUUGGAAUGCUGGAAUAAAAAAAUACCCUGUGUUCGUGCAUGUAUGCCUUGAGGGGGUAGUAGCCGGCCCAGGCCAAAAAGGCCUCUCGAGAUGCGAGGAACAUGUGCUCCAGUGCGUAUUCAUGUAUGUUUUCGCGGGAAGCCUUCGUUGCAAAAAGGAAACAUAUGUAGCUGGCAAGCAAUGAAAACAGGGCCGGGUGUGGGUGCACUCCCCCGAAGCGACAACUAGGGCCUGCAGACCAACUACUUCAGGGCGGUAGUACACAAACACCCGAAGUAACCAGCACAACCACGCACGCAAGUCCAUGCAAAUCGUCCGUUGGAGUCGGAGGGCAUCGGUCCCCCUAUUCAUGCAAAAAAUGUAAUAAUGUAGCUGGCCGCUCGUCGCUGGCCGCCGAUUGGAAUGCUGGAAUAAAAAAAUACCCUGUGUUCGUGCAUGUAUGCCUUGAGGGGGUUAGUAGCCGGCCCAGGCCAAAAAGGCCUCUCGAGAUGCGAGGAACAUGUGCUCCAGUGCGUAUUUAUGUAUGUUUUCGCGGGAAGCCUUCGUUGCAAAAAGGAAACAUAUGUAGCUGGCAAGCAAUGAAAACAGGGCCGGGUGUGGGUGCACUCCCCCGAAGCGACAACUAGGGCCUGCAGACCAACUACUUCAGGGCGGUAGUACACAAACACCCGAAGUAACCAGCACAACCACGCACGCAAGUCCAUGCAAAUCGUACAGCGGCACUCCCAAUUCACAGGAAACUUUAGUUUUCUCGACGCUUCGCUUACAAAGCUAUGAGAUUGUGUGAAGAAGGGGGCAAUAGCUUCAUCCGUGGCCACCACUAGCCUGGCAGUGUUUACCUUCCCGGGUGUGUUUGGGUGCACCCUCAUGCUCAUGCUUCUGACCCAUGCCGACUUCUGAAACGUCAGCGGCAUUUUCGGGUCCAGCACGCACCAUCAGCACAUCCCGUGGAAUCUGUGCCUGGAAUCAACGGCGGCAGCAGCAAGUUUCCACUCCGGUCGGCUUUUGCAGGUGUGUCACUACACCAGUGGUUCCAUCAUCUCGGCCAUCAGCAAUGGAAUCGAUUGCCAUCCAUCCAGCCUCUUCUGUUCAAGACUCUGUCCCGGGAUCACUUCCAAAACAGCCUUCCCGGGACAGCACACUCUGUACCUUCCUCCGUAUCACCUUCCCCAGCAUAAAGCCUGUCGUGUUUCAAUGGNUUGAGUGCACGUGCACACAGUAAUAGUUCUGUCCGUUGGAGUCGGAGGGCAUCGAUCCCCCUACCUCCCGCACAUCAUCUGCGGCGCUCAGCAUCGCAUGCUAAGCGGGCGCUCUACCAUUUGAGCUACGACCCCUGCACAUCCUCACCACUCUGCGCUCGAUGACGGGAUCGAACCGUCGACCUUACGGUUAACAGCCGUGCGCUCUACCGACUGAGCUAACCGAGCAGGUCUGGCAGAUGGAUGUACGGCAGCAGCAAGCAUACGCGUUGCACGCCACAUGCCGUACUGUACGAGUGCUACGGCUGAAGCUGUGCACCGUGCCGUACGACAAAAGAACAGAAAAAAUGCGAUGCGAUUAGGUUGAUACAACCUACUGCAUACCAAGGCGCAGGUAAUGCGUCAGCAACCAGCUGCAAACAGGGCUCUAUCGAUGUAUUGGUCGGGUCCGUGCCGUCAGUGCACACCAGCAUAACACAUAAGAAAUGGGGACCUGCAAUUCAUUCAUGCAAAAAAUGUAAUAAUGUAGCUGGCCGCUCG